This 405-nucleotide ribosomal RNA is filed under the name uncultured bacterium. RNAcentral's name for it is "bacterial SSU rRNA". It matches the Rfam family "Bacterial small subunit ribosomal RNA", at positions 355 to 775 of the family's 1533-position model. The record is from RNAcentral.
UGGGGAAUAUUGGGCAAUGGGGGAAACCCUGACCCAGCGACGCCGCGUGAGGGAAGAAGGCCUUAGGGUCGUAAACCUCUGUUGUGUGGGAAGAAGAGCGUGACGGUACCACACGAGGAAGUCCCGGCUAACUACGUGCCAGCAGCCGCGGUAAUACGUAGGGGACGAGCGUUGUCCGGAUUUACUGGGCGUAAAGGGCGCGUAGGCGGUCAUUUAAGUCAGCUGUGAAAUGGUGCGGCUUAACCGCAUCAUGCGGUUGAAACUGGAUGACUGGAGUGCUGGAGAGGCAAGUGGAAUUCCCAGUGUAGCGGUGAAAUGCGUAGAUAUUGGGAAGAACACCGGUGGCGAAGGCGACUUGCUGGCCAGCAACUGACGCUGAGGCGCGAAAGCCAGGGGAGCAAACGG